AUUCUCCUACGGGGCGCAGCAGUGGGGAAUAUUGCACAAUGGGGGAAACCCUGAUGCAGCGACGCCGCGUGAGUGAAGAAGUAUUUCGGUAUGUAAAGCUCUAUCAGCAGGGAAGAAAAUGACGGUACCUGACCAAGAAGCCCCGGCUAACUACGUGCCAGCAGCCGCGGUAAUACGUAGGGGGCGAGCGUUAUCCGGAUUCACUGGGCGUAAAGGGAGCGCAGGCGGCACGGCAAGUCCGGUGUGAAAGCCCGGGGCCCAACCCCGGGACUGCACUGGAAACUGCCGGGCUGGAGUGUCGGAGG
RNAcentral lists this ribosomal RNA (305 nucleotides) under uncultured bacterium. Its description in RNAcentral is "bacterial SSU rRNA". It matches the Rfam family "Bacterial small subunit ribosomal RNA", at positions 333 to 655 of the family's 1533-position model. The record is from RNAcentral.